AGUGAACGCUGGCGGCGUGCCUAAUACAUGCAAGUCGAACGGAAUUUAAAAGAGCUUGCUCUUUUAAAUUUAGUGGCGCACGGGUGAGUAAUAUAAAGCUAAUCUGCCCCUUGCUGGAGGACAACAGUUAGAAAUGACUGCUAAUACUCCAUACUCCUUUUUACCAUAAGAUAAAUCGGGAAAGAAUUUCGGCAAGGGAUGAGACUAUAUCGUAUCAGCUAGUCGGUGGGGUAACGGCCUACCGAGGCUAUGACGCGUAACUGGUCUGAGAGGAUGAUCAGUCACAUUGGAACUGAGACACGGUCCAAACUCCUACGGGAGGCAGCAGUAGGGAAUAUUGCGCAAUGGGGGAAACCCUGACGCAGCAACGCCGCGUGGAGGAUGACACUUUUCGGAGCGUAAACUCCUUUUGUUAGGGAAGAAUAAUGACGGUACCUAACGAAUAAGCA
RNAcentral lists this ribosomal RNA (449 nucleotides) under Campylobacter gracilis. RNAcentral's name for it is "bacterial SSU rRNA". It matches the Rfam family "Bacterial small subunit ribosomal RNA", at positions 29 to 492 of the family's 1533-position model. Lineage: Bacteria; Pseudomonadati; Campylobacterota; Epsilonproteobacteria; Campylobacterales; Campylobacteraceae. The record is from RNAcentral.